This 253-nucleotide ribosomal RNA is filed under the name uncultured bacterium. Its description in RNAcentral is "partial 16S ribosomal RNA". It matches the Rfam family "Bacterial small subunit ribosomal RNA", at positions 524 to 776 of the family's 1533-position model. The record is from RNAcentral.
UACAGAGGGGGCCAGCGUUAUUCGGAAUUACUGGGCGUAAAGGGCGCGUAGGCGGACAGUUUAGUCAGAGGUGAAAGCCCAGGGCUCAACCUUGGAAUUGCCUUUGAUACUGGCUGUCUUGAGUACGGGAGAGGUGUGUGGAACUCCGAGUGUAGAGGUGAAAUUCGUAGAUAUUCGGAAGAACACCAGUGGCGAAGGCGACACACUGGCCCGUUACUGACGCUGAGGCGCGAAAGCGUGGGGAGCAAACAGG